This is a non-coding RNA of Pelobates cultripes (western spadefoot toad), 216 nucleotides long. Lineage: Eukaryota; Metazoa; Chordata; Amphibia; Anura; Pelobatidae. The record is from the annotation of a GenBank genome assembly.
AUUUAAAAUCCUGGGGCGUGACAGUUCCUCUUUUAAUCCUCAAUCUGUCCUACACAAUCAUGUGACAGCAGAAGGGACUGAUUACUUAUUUAUCAUGCUGUAACUUAUUGUCAUUCUGCCUUCAUAUAACUUUUGUACUUCUAGAUCUGUGACUUGUUGCUUGUAACGUGACAUUUCCCCUUUAAACGUUGUUCAUAGUCCAUAGAAGACCACCGC